CACUAUACUAGAGGAGAGAGACCAGCAAUUGGUUAUCUAGAGGCAUUGAACAUUGGCAAUGAUACGGGGUUUAUCUUUCACACGAAAAAGAAGGAUUCACCUUCUUUCACAUAAAUCCACCAUUGGAUCACCCUCCAUACAAAUCUCAAAACGCUUUAAACUCCAUCAUUCAUCCAUCUGAAUAGAUCUCAAAACGAUCAGUGGAUGAUCCAAGAGGGAAUUCAUGCGAACAAAAGAGAAUCC
This 243-nucleotide long non-coding RNA is filed under the name Elaeis guineensis (African oil palm). RNAcentral describes it as "long non-coding RNA (EGUI_LNC022544)". The record is from RNAcentral. Lineage: Eukaryota; Viridiplantae; Streptophyta; Magnoliopsida; Arecales; Arecaceae.